CCUACGGGGGGCAGCAGUAGGGAAUCUUCCACAAUGGGCGAAAGCCUGAUGGAGCAACGCCGCGUGGGUGAAGAAGGUCUUCGGAUCGUAAAACCCUGUUGUUAGAGAAGAAAAUGCGUGAGAGUAACUGUUCACGUUUCGACGGUAUCUAACCAGAAAGCCACGGCUAACUACGUGCCAGCAGCCGCGGUAAUACGUAGGUGGCAAGCGUUAUCCGGAUUUAUUGGGCGUAAAGGGCACGCAUGCGGUCUGUUAAGUCUGAUGGGAAAGCCUUCGGCUUAACCGGAGUAGUGCAUUGGAAACUGUGAGACUUGAGUGCAGAAGAGGAGAGUGGAACUCCAUGGGUAGCGGUGAAAUGCGUAGAUAUAUGGAAGAACACCAGUGGCGAAGGCGGCUCUCUGGUCUGUAACUGACGCUGAGGUUCGAAAGCGUGGGUAGCAAACAGGAUUAGAUACCCGGGUAGUC
This 465-nucleotide ribosomal RNA is filed under the name uncultured bacterium. Its description in RNAcentral is "partial 16S ribosomal RNA". It matches the Rfam family "Bacterial small subunit ribosomal RNA", at positions 338 to 795 of the family's 1533-position model. The record is from RNAcentral.